UUUAUCAGAUUUGGCAUUAUUUUCAUAAGAUCAUAUCAAGCAUAACGUGUAUGACUGAAAAAUAUGAAAGAUAUGCAAUGGUUCAUUUUCCAUUUUUCAGAAGAUCAAAAGGAGUUUUCAUCAAAAAUAGAUCUAAUAGAAAUCAUAUGUAUGACAAGCAGUGAUGAUAGUUUUUUUUUAAAAAAAUCAUUUAAGUAGAUGACUAUCAUACACAAUUGUCUUUUUCAUUUCUUCAAGAAUUCUAUUAAUCCUAUUUUACUUAAGGUGUCCUUGGUGCUGAAAAUAUUAUUUUUCUGUGCACAACUUAACACAAAAUUGGUUUUCAAUCACUAUGCCAUGAUUUCAUAGUUUGCAAACCUUUAUCAUUUGAUCGCUUUUUGUGAGUUUG
This 388-nucleotide long non-coding RNA is filed under the name Phoenix dactylifera (date palm). RNAcentral describes it as "long non-coding RNA (PDAC_LNC018975)". The record is from RNAcentral. Lineage: Eukaryota; Viridiplantae; Streptophyta; Magnoliopsida; Arecales; Arecaceae.